UACGGAGGGAGCUAGCGUUGUUCGGAAAUACUGGGCGUAAAGCGCACGUAGGCGGCACUGCAAGUCAGGGGUGAAAUCCCGGGGCUCAACCUCGGAACUGCCCUUGAAACUGCAGCGUUAGAAUCUUGGAGAGGCGAGUGGAAUUCCGAGUGUAGAGGUGAAAUUCGUAGAUAUUCGGAAGAACACCAGUGGCGAAGGCGACUCGCUGGACAAGUAUUGACGCUGAGGUGCGAAAGCGUGGGAAGCAAACAGG
This 253-nucleotide ribosomal RNA is filed under the name uncultured bacterium. Its description in RNAcentral is "partial 16S ribosomal RNA". It matches the Rfam family "Bacterial small subunit ribosomal RNA", at positions 524 to 776 of the family's 1533-position model. The record is from RNAcentral.